Molecule: small nuclear RNA, 190 nt
Organism: Hemicordylus capensis (graceful crag lizard)
Lineage: Eukaryota; Metazoa; Chordata; Lepidosauria; Squamata; Cordylidae
Product: U2 spliceosomal RNA
Exons: 1
Source: RefSeq, a predicted model, not a curated record
AGGUCUGCCAUGCCUAUUGACUCAGAUCAAGCAUAGUGUCUAUUCUUUUCAUUUAAUAUCUGAUUUGUUCUCCAUUUGAGAACUACAUAUUAAAUUGAUUUUUGGAACUGGAGGAUGGUCUGGGAGCUUAUUCAAUCCACUCCAAGCAUCACACUGGCACUGCAGUGCUUCUGGAAGCAGUGCACCUUUC